Molecule: ribosomal RNA, 490 nt
Filed under: uncultured bacterium
Lineage: Bacteria
Description: partial 16S ribosomal RNA
Rfam family: Bacterial small subunit ribosomal RNA
Source: RNAcentral
GAUGAACGCUCGCUACAGGCUUAACACAUGCAAGUCGCGGGGCAGCAUGGGGGUUGCUUGCAAUCCCCGAUGGCGACCGGCGCACGGGUGAGUAACGCGUAUCCAACCUGCCCUUCACCACGGGAUAACCCGGCGAAAGUCGGACUAAUACCGUAUGUUGUCCAUUGACGGCAUCCGAUUUGGACGAAAGGCUUGGCGGUGAGGGAUGGGGAUGCGUCCGAUUAGCCAGACGGCGGGGUAACGGCCCACCGUGGCUACGAUCGGUAGGGGUUCUGAGAGGAAGGUCCCCCACACUGGAACUGAGACACGGUCCAGACCCCUACGGGAGGCAGCAGUGAGGAAUAUUGGUCAAUGGGCGUAAGCCUGAACCAGCCAAGUAGCGUGCAGGAUGACGGCCCUAUGGGUUGUAAACUGCUUUUAUGCGGGGAUAAAGUGGCCCACGUGUGGGCUUUUGCAGGUACCGCAUGAAUAAGGACCGGCUAAUUCCGUG